RNAcentral lists this long non-coding RNA (1779 nucleotides) under Callithrix jacchus (white-tufted-ear marmoset). Its description in RNAcentral is "lncRNA (ENSCJAG00000080340.1)". Lineage: Eukaryota; Metazoa; Chordata; Mammalia; Primates; Cebidae. The record is from RNAcentral.
GAUCACCUGAAGUCAGGAGUUCAAGACCAGCCUGGCCAACAAGGUGAAACCCCAUCUCUAUUAAAAAUAUGAAAGUUAGCCAGAUGUGGUGGUAAUCCCAACACUCAGAGGGCUGAGAUAGGAGAAUCACUUGAACCCAAGAGAUAGAGGCCGCAGUGAGCUGAGAUUGUGCCACUGCAGCCCAGCCUGGGUGACAGAGCAAGACACCAUCUCAAUAAAAAUACAGUCUCCACAAUAACCCCAUAUUCCUGGACCUGGUUACCCAGGAGGGAGAGGACAGUGCAGAUACAGAUGGAUCACAGAGACCUACCUCUGGAAGCUGUGGUGACUAGUGACUGUUAGGUUGGUCAUUCUGGUGUCCAGUAUGUUCAACAGGGGAAGAGAUGCUCCCUGUGGCUCCCUAGGGCCUGCUUGACACCCAGCUCUUCUUUCCAGCCUUGAAUUCUGUCCAUGGCUUGUGUUUAUCGUCUCACACCAACUCCAGCCCUGAUGUUCACCAUGGCCGUGGCUUUGGUCCUGGUCAUUGCAGGAAGUUUCAGUACCGCAGUGAACUUCAUAAGGGACUUGAUUUACUUCGAAUUCUAAGAACAUCAGCCAAAAGUUAAACAGGAGGCUGCAGUCUGCCUUCAUUACCCAGCCCUCGAUGUCACCGCCACAGCCACACCAUCACCAGUGCAGCAGGACAAGCAGAGGGUGGUGUUUCUCAUACUUUUAUGUUCACAUGGAGAUCUUGUUAAAACCUAGAUUCUGAUCCUGUAGGGUCUGGGCUGGGCUGGGGCCUGAAUUCUGCUUUUCUGCAAAGCUUUCAAGAAAUGCCAGUAUUGCUGGUCCCGAAACCAGCACUUUGAGUAAUGAAACCCUAACGUUCCACCAAAUCCCUUUAGCUAUGAAGCUCGAGGUGUGCCCUUGAGUUUCUGGAGCGCACAAGCCCUAUGUGGAUUGUGAUGGGAGGGGGGAGGGGGACAAGGCCCUGUCCCUGUCCCUGUGGGGGCUCUAGGUCUCCAGGUGGUUGACUGACCACCGCCAUGGAUACAGACACAGCUCCCACCCCGCCUCCUCUCUGCCAGCCACGGCAGGUGCCAGCCUCAUCUCUCACCUGGUAACUCAGGAGAGGAAAGUGAGAUUCAAGAUGGCCCAACACACACACACACGCGCACACACACACACACACACACAAAUACACGAACCACACACACACCACAUACAACACAACACACACAAAGCACACACACAGCACACACAACACACACACAACUUUCUCUGAGGCUCCCAGGCUCCCACUGAGAGGGAGAGGUGGUGACUGCUCAGGAGGUGGGGACAUUCCUACCAAGGGUCCUGUUGUUUUCUCAAAUCUAUCCCCAUCUCUCUACCCUUGCUCUGUCUGAUAGCCAGAGAGGCCACUCAUCUUUUUUUUUUCUUUUGAGGCAGGUCUCACUUUGCCACCCAGGCUAGAAUGCAGUGGCUGGAUCACAGUCAGCCUCGAUCUUCCAGGCUCAAGUGAUCCUCCUGCCUCAGCCUCCCAAGUAGCUGAGACUACAGGCAGGUGCCUGGCUAAUUUUUAAAUUUUUUUUUUUGGUAGAGGCAGGGUCUCCCUAUAUUGCCCAAGCUGGUGUCAAACUCCUGGGUUCAAGUAAUCCUCCCACCUCGGCCUCCCAAGGUGCAGGGAUUACAGAUGUGAGUCACGGAGCCUGGCCUAGGCCUCCUAAUCUCAAACCUGCUUCCCUCCUUCGUUGCUCUGUGAGCCACCCCCAACACUGCUGCCAUCUCAUGGAACAAAAC